Molecule: ribosomal RNA, 253 nt
Filed under: uncultured bacterium
Lineage: Bacteria
Description: partial 16S ribosomal RNA
Rfam family: Bacterial small subunit ribosomal RNA
Source: RNAcentral
UACGUAGGGUGCAAGCAUUAAUCGGAUUUAUUGGGCGUAAAGGGCGCGUAGGCGGGAGAGAAAGUUAGAUGUGAAAGCCCGGAGCUCAACUCCGGAACUGCAUCUAAAACUUCUUUUCUAGAGGAUGGACGGAGAAAAUGGAAUCCCACGUGUAGCGGUGAAAUGCGUAGAUAUGUGGAAGAACACCGGUGGCGAAAGCGAUUUUCUAGUUUAGACCUGACGCUGAGGCGCGAAAGCUAGGGGAGCAAACAGG